Molecule: ribosomal RNA, 460 nt
Filed under: uncultured bacterium
Lineage: Bacteria
Description: partial 16S ribosomal RNA
Rfam family: Bacterial small subunit ribosomal RNA
Source: RNAcentral
CCUACGGGCGGCAGCAGUGAGGAAUAUUGGUCAAUGGGCGCGAGCCUGAACCAGCCAAGUAGCGUGAAGGAUGACUGCCCUACGGGUUGUAAACUUCUUUUAUAAAGGAAUAAAGUGAGGCACGUGUGCCUUUUUGUAUUUACUUUAUGAAUAAGGAUCGGCUAACUCCGUGCCAGCAGCCGCGGUAAUACGGAGGAGCAGAGCGUUAUCCGGAUUUAUUGGUUUUAAAGGUAGCUUAGAUGGGUUGUUAAGUCAGUGGUGAAAGUUUGCGGCGCAAGCGUUAAAUUGCAAUUGAUACUGGCAGUCUUGAGUACAGAUGAGGUAGGAGGAAUGUGUGGUGUAGCGGUGAAAUGCUUAGAUAUCACGCAGAACUCCGAUUGCGAAGGCAGCUUACUAAACUGCCACUGACAUUGAUGCUCGAAAGUGUGGGUAUCAAACAGGAUUAGAUACCCUUGUAGUC